UACGAAGGGGGCUAGCGUUGUUCGGAUUUACUGGGCGUAAAGCGCACGUAGGCGGAUUGUUAAGUCGGGGGUGAAAUCCUGGAGCUCAACUCCAGAAUUGCCUUCGAUACUGGCUUUCUAGAGGCUGGAAGAGGUUAGUGGAAUUCCCAGUGUAGAGGUGAAAUUCGUAGAUAUUGGGAAGAACACCAGUGGCGAAGGCGGCUAACUGGUCCAGAUCUGGCGCUGAGGUGCGAAAGCGUGGGGAGCAAACAGG
RNAcentral lists this ribosomal RNA (253 nucleotides) under uncultured bacterium. Its description in RNAcentral is "partial 16S ribosomal RNA". It matches the Rfam family "Bacterial small subunit ribosomal RNA", at positions 524 to 776 of the family's 1533-position model. The record is from RNAcentral.